AGAAAACCAAGUUUUAUGCAACUUAGGAGCGAAGCCUUCCACACACUCACCAAACCACUUAGAAUAUAUCAAAUUCCACAUAAUCGAAGCAAUAAACUGUAAAAGAAGUUGGAGAGUUUAAACCCACACCUGAUUCACGAUCAGAGACGUCCAGAACCUGACUUGAUGACCAAGAAAUCAAAGCUCUUCGAAAACUACAACACAACUAUUUUCAAAAAAGAAAAGAAGAAAAAACAAAAAGAAAACAAAGAAAGGGGAAAAGGAGAACCUCUAGAAAGAAAGAAAAGAAAAAUAAAAAUAAUCAUAACAAUAAUAAUAAACAGUAAGUAAAGAAAAUAAUUAUCUAAACCUUUAAAACAAAAAAAAUGGUCCCUCAAAACAUUCCAAAGGACUCAAACCCGUGACCCAAAGGCACAUUAACACACUACCAACCACUAGACCAGCAGGCUUAUUCUGUCACUUAA
RNAcentral lists this long non-coding RNA (464 nucleotides) under Gossypium raimondii (Peruvian cotton). Its description in RNAcentral is "long non-coding RNA (GRAI_LNC010951)". The record is from RNAcentral. Lineage: Eukaryota; Viridiplantae; Streptophyta; Magnoliopsida; Malvales; Malvaceae.